RNAcentral lists this ribosomal RNA (97 nucleotides) under uncultured bacterium. RNAcentral's name for it is "partial 16S ribosomal RNA". The record is from RNAcentral.
CCUUCGGUUGUAACCCUGUUGUCGGUUACGAAUGGUAGGUGCCAAUAGCGCUUCUACUUGACUAAGGCCGAUGAGGAAGCCACGGCUAACUACGUGC